UACGGAGGGGGCUAGCGUUGUUCGGAAUUACUGGGCGUAAAGCGCACGUAGGCGGCUUUGUAAGUUAGAGGUGAAAGCCCGGGGCUCAACUCCGGAAUUGCCUUUAAGACUGCAUCGCUAGAAUUGUGGAGAGGUAAGUGGAAUUCCGAGUGUAGAGGUGAAAUUCGUAGAUAUUGGGAAGAACACCGGUGGCGAAGGCGGCUAUCUGGACCGUAACUGACGCUGAGGCGCGAAAGCGUGGGGAGCAAACAGG
Molecule: ribosomal RNA, 253 nt
Filed under: uncultured bacterium
Lineage: Bacteria
Description: partial 16S ribosomal RNA
Rfam family: Bacterial small subunit ribosomal RNA
Source: RNAcentral